Long non-coding RNA from Canis lupus familiaris (dog), 804 nucleotides. RefSeq lists it as uncharacterized. Lineage: Eukaryota; Metazoa; Chordata; Mammalia; Carnivora; Canidae. The transcript is spliced from 3 exons. The record is from RefSeq and is a predicted model, not a curated record.
GUGGAUGAGUGCUUGCAAUGGAGGUGAAUAGCAGAACUGGCCUUCAUCUAAUCAAGUACUGAACAGCACUUGCCUCGAGGAUCUGAGAAAAUGAAGAGACCUAGUCUGGUAUAUUCAGGGAUGGGAUCCUGGCUGCCUUACCCAUCACUGACAAGGAGUGCUACAUAUGGGAAAGGCACCUAUUUCCUACUGCCCUGAAAACUGCCCAGCAACCUGGCACACUAAGAUGUCCUCAGGCCUGAUUUAUAAAUAUCCUCCAAUGUAGAAGUAGCUAUAAAAGGAGUAGAGAGAUGGUGAGACAGUGGAGGCGGAGGACUAGCAGAAGAAGGUGGGAAAGGAGAAGACCCACAAGGACACAGGAUGAGGAUGGACUGAGAUCUUGCAGCCUGUCUUCUUCCCACACACUCACAAGUGUGUAUCUAAGCUACCUGAUGAAAGAAGGAACAUUAGAAGUACCCCCUCCAACGAUGUUCUACUUCUACUGAGAAGGAGACAAAAACCUCAUUAUUUAAGGCACUCCAGGGCUAAUGUCAAGCUAUUCCAUUCAGAAAGACCAUGGUAAGCAAGUAAAACUAAUCUCUCAGGUGGUCACAAACUUAAUAGGAAGACCGUUUUGACCUAAAACAUCUUUGAGUUUGCGAAACAUGCUUCAACUUCUACUCAAAGGGAAGUGUAUAUAUUAGGAUAAAAGAAUAAGACCAAUUAUGGACUUAAAGUGUCCAUGGAAGCAAAAGAAACACUGUAAAAAGGGCUAUGAAUUUCCCAUCCUAUAUCCUAGAUUUUUAAAUAAAAAUAGAGACAGAA